AGGGGAGUGAAAAAGAACCUGAAACCGUGUACGUACAAGCAGUGGGAGCACGCUUAGGCGUGUGACUGCGUACCUUUUGUAUAAUGGGUCAGCGACUUAUAUUCUGUAGCAAGGUUAACCGAAUAGGGGAGCCGAAGGGAAACCGAGUCUUAACUGGGCGUUAAGUUGCAGGGUAUAGACCCGAAACCCGGUGAUCUAGCCAUGGGCAGGUUGAAGGUUGGGUAACACUAACUGGAGGACCGAACCGACUAAUGUUGAAAAAUUAGCGGAUGACUUGUGGCUGGGGGUGAAAGGCCAAUCAAACCGGGAGAUAGCUGGUUCUCCCCGAAAGCUAUUUAGGUAGCGCCUCGUGAAUUCAUCUCCGGGGGUAGAGCACUGUUUCGGCAAGGGGGUCAUCCCGACUUACCAACCCGAUGCAAACUGCGAAUACCGGAGAAUGUUAUCACGGGAGACACACGGCGGGUGCUAACGUCCGUCGUGAAGAGGGAAACAACCCAGACCGCCAGCUAAGGUCCCAAAGUCAUGGUUAAGUGGGAAACGAUGUGGGAAGGCCCAGACAGCCAGGAUGUUGGCUUAGAAGCAGCCAUCAUUUAAAGAAAGCGUAAUAGCUCACUGGUCGAGUCGGCCUGCGCGGAAGAUGUAACGGGGCUAAACCAUGCACCGAAGCUGCGGCAGCGACGCUGAUGCGUUGUUGGGUAGGGGAGCGUUCUGUAAGCCUGUGAAGGUGUGCUGUGAGGCAUGCUGGAGGUAUCAGAAGUGCGAAUGCUGACAUAAGUAACGAUAAAGCGGGUGAAAAGCCCGCUCGCCGGAAGACCAAGGGUUCCUGUCCAACGUUAAUCGGGGCAGGGUGAGUCGACCCCUAAGGCGAGGCCGAAAGGCGUAGUCGAUGGGAAACAGGUUAAUAUUCCUGUACUUGGUGUUACUGCGAAGGGGGGACGGAGAAGGCUAUGUUGGCCGGGCGACGGUUGUCCCGGUUUAAGCGUGUAGGCUGGUUUUCCAGGCAAAUCCGGAAAAUCAAGGCUGAGGCGUGAUGACGAGGCACUACGGUGCUGAAGCAACAAAUGCCCUGCUUCCAGGAAAAGCCUCUAAGCAUCAGGUAACAUCAAAUCGUACCCCAAACCGACACAGGUGGUCAGGUAGAGAAUACCAAGGCGCUUGAGAGAACUCGGGUGAAGGAACUAGGCAAAAUGGUGCCGUAACUUCGGGAGAAGGCACGCUGAUAUGUAGGUGAAGUCCCUCGCGGAUGGAGCUGAAAUCAGUCGAAGAUACCAGCUGGCUGCAACUGUUUAUUAAAAACACAGCACUGUGCAAACACGAAAGUGGACGUAUACGGUGUGACGCCUGCCCGGUGCCGGAAGGUUAAUUGAUGGGGUCAGCGCAAGCGAAGCUCUUGAUCGAAGCCCCGGUAAACGGCGGCCGUAACUAUAACGGUCCUAAGGUAGCGAAAUUCCUUGUCGGGUAAGUUCCGACCUGCACGAAUGGCGUAAUGAUGGCCAGGCUGUCUCCACCCGAGACUCAGUGAAAUUGAACUCGCUGUGAAGAUGCAGUGUACCCGCGGCAAGACGGAAAGACCCCGUGAACCUUUACUAUAGCUUGACACUGAACAUUGAGCCUUGAUGUGUAGGAUAGGUGGGAGGCUUUGAAGUGUGGACGCCAGUCUGCAUGGAGCCGGCCUUGAAAUACCACCCUUUAAUGUUUGAUGUUCUAACGUUGACCCGUGAUCCGGGUUGCGGACAGUGUCUGGUGGGUAGUUUGACUGGGGCGGUCUCCUCCUAAAGAGUAACGGAGGAGCACGAAGGUUGGCUAAUCCUGGUCGGACAUCAGGAGGUUAGUGCAAUGGCAUAAGCCAGCUUGACUGCGAGCGUGACGGCGCGAGCAGGUGCGAAAGCAGGUCAUAGUGAUCCGGUGGUUCUGAAUGGAAGGGCCAUCGCUCAACGGAUAAAAGGUACUCCGGGGAUAACAGGCUGAUACCGCCCAAGAGUUCAUAUCGACGGCGGUGUUUGGCACCUCGAUGUCGGCUCAUCACAUCCUGGGGCUGAAGUAGGUCCCAAGGGUAUGGCUGUUCGCCAUUUAAAGUGGUACGCGAGCUGGGUUUAGAACGUCGUGAGACAGUUCGGUCCCUAU
RNAcentral lists this ribosomal RNA (2124 nucleotides) under Escherichia coli. RNAcentral's name for it is "partial 23S ribosomal RNA". It matches the Rfam family "Bacterial large subunit ribosomal RNA", at positions 532 to 2641 of the family's 2925-position model. The record is from RNAcentral. Lineage: Bacteria; Pseudomonadati; Pseudomonadota; Gammaproteobacteria; Enterobacterales; Enterobacteriaceae.